Long non-coding RNA from Cynoglossus semilaevis (tongue sole), 2483 nucleotides. RefSeq lists it as uncharacterized. The transcript is spliced from 4 exons. NCBI's taxonomy places the organism in Eukaryota, Metazoa, Chordata, Actinopteri, Pleuronectiformes, Cynoglossidae. The record is from RefSeq and is a predicted model, not a curated record.
UCCUGUCGGAACAAAUGAUAAGAUGGUCAGAAAUGAGAGGCACAAAGACAUGAUGGCCACUCAGCAGCAUCAUUAUCACCAAAGAAAUGGAAACAAAUUGUAACAUUCAUUUAUCCAUUGUGACACAUUUUAUCUAAUCUAGUUUCACUGCUGCAUUUCCUGUCUUGGAUAAAUGAGCCUUCAACAGAAAUUAAGGCCCAGAACGACAGGGAGCGUGAGGUAAACCAGCUCUUCCUUCAAGCCUUCAAUCUUCAUCUCCAGCUCAGACCGGGCCAGGGUCAGCUCAUCCAGGACCUUGCGUAAUCCAGCAAUGUCAGUCUCCACUGACAUGCGCAUGGCCAUUUCAUUUUCAAACCUGUGUGGCGGAGAUGGAAGGGCAUCAGAGAGUUACACACCCACUGUGACAACAUGUCCAAUCCACCUGAGCUGACGGAUGCAGCAGGUGAUGGUGUCUCGUGGCCCACACAUGGAGCACAGAGUUGUUGGUGACAUGACAUUUGAACUCACUUUAUUCUGAAGUCUUCUGCUGCCAGUCUGGCGUUGUCAAUCUGUAACAUCAUCCUGGCAUUGUCCAGCGUGGCAGCACUUAUCUGUAAAGACCAUACAAGCAACGUAUUCACUCACUAACACCAUUUCAUUGGUCAAUAAGGCAAAAGUGCUGCAGCCACUGGUGUUUAUCGUCCACUAACUGUGCGUUAUUACUCAUCAUUAAUUAUCUGUUAUGACCUGAGACCACUUGUACCGGCUGUCCUUCAUUGUGUUCAACCAUAAAUCAUUUUGACCCUUGUUCCACAUCAGGUCACUAUGGUGACGACAAAACCAGCCAAUGAAAAAGUUAAAUGGUCUGACGGACCAAAACAUUCUGUAUAACGAAAUGUAUUUUUAACUGUGGUUAUGAGAACUAACAUUUAUAGCAGGAACAAGAGGGAAAAAGGUUAAAUAAUAAUAAUAAUAAUAACUACAAAUUAGCUGGCUAGCUAGUCUGAUUUCUUAAUCAUUUAAAAAAUAAUAAAAGUAUAGCAAAGAAUGGUACAUAUUUAUAAAGAGUAAAAAAAUAAAAUUGAAAAAUAACAUUUAGCCUAAAUGAUGGCCAAGGGGUAUUACAUAUGUAUAUGUAUUGGUAGACUCUAUCAUCUGCCUGAGAUACUAAUGUGUCAUAUAUAUUUGUCCUUCUAUGAUUCAAUAGUUACAGGUUUCACAGCCAAGAACAAGCCGGUUCCUUAAGAUGAUUUUGAAUCCAACUGUUGUUUCUGUGCUACCAGCUAGGAGGAGCCAUUUUGUGCAACUGUGGGAUGAUGAGAACCUUAAGAGUCUCCACUAGGUCUGGCUCCUUCUGGAGGCUUCUUUGUUCACUCAUCUGUCGUAGAACAUUCUAUACUCUAACAUCCUGAACACAACGAAGGCCUUUCUACUCCUUACCAUAUACAGUACUUCAUUUCUAAUGAUGGUGGGAUGAAAAUGGUGUUUAAAAAAAAACAUCAACUGUCGGAAGCAAAUGUAGAUUGUGCUGUUUAGUUAAACUUGUAAAUCAGGUGUUUGACGAGGAGCCUGUUCCUGUUGCAUUGCAUUUGUAACAAUAUUUUGAGCUUAUAUACAUACACAAACAUAUAACCAAUUUUUGGACCCUUUUUUUUUUCUUCAGACAGAGGUCAUUGAGCUAGAAUAAAACUACUCGUGUUCUAAAAAAGGUUUCACUUCAUCUGUAUAUUCACAGUUCACUUUCUGCUCUUGCAGAAAUGCCAUGAUUCCACGAAAACAACUAGAAUAUUCAUCAAUCAUUUACUGUCAUCUGCAAGUCAAACAGCAGAAUAAAAACGAAUAAGCAUAAAAUAGGUUUAUGACUUGUUUAAAUGUCUUUAGUAUUCAUGUAUUGUUUUGCAUUCUUGCUCUGAGAAGACACACAGAACAUUAACCUCUGACCUCUGGUACGUUUUAGCCUAACUUCUGUACUGGUACUGUUCUCUGCCUCCUUCACGCCUCUAUAUUAAUGUUUGUUUGUUGACAUAACAUGACGUCAAGACACUUGUUUUGAGGCUAUGAGCACAUCCGUCAGUGUUGGCUUUUUUAAUAUAUUGAAAUGUUGUUAACUCUGCAGCCAUUCUCUAUGUAAGACUAAAAUGUAAAUAUACACUCAGAUAAAAUAUAAGAACAGUGGAUAUCAAACCUUUUCUUAUUCAGUUGAUGAAAAUGUUUUUAUUAGCCAAGUACUAACUCUAGCUAGCAAGAAAUUUGAUGGAUAAAGAAGUGGUAGAACCACAGCGCUGUUACAUCAGUAUCUGAGUUAUUUAUUAUUAUUUAUGUUAAUGAUUAUUUGUAGUGGAGUUCUGUGAUCUGCAUUGUAGGUCAAUAAAAAUGUUCUAUAUAUAUAUUUAUAUAUACUAAAUAAUUUUACAGGACUACGCAUUCAUUUAUAAGUUCGAAUUGUUGCUAUAUUUUAUAUAUUUUUCCUGGCCCAGGUUUGAUCUCCAAAAGAAUUACUUGAC